RNAcentral lists this ribosomal RNA (465 nucleotides) under Vreelandella stevensii. RNAcentral's name for it is "partial 16S ribosomal RNA". It matches the Rfam family "Bacterial small subunit ribosomal RNA", at positions 338 to 795 of the family's 1533-position model. Lineage: Bacteria; Pseudomonadati; Pseudomonadota; Gammaproteobacteria; Oceanospirillales; Halomonadaceae. The record is from RNAcentral.
CCUACGGGUGGCAGCAGUGGGGAAUAUUGGACAAUGGGGGGAACCCUGAUCCAGCCAUGCCGCGUGUGUGAAGAAGGCCCUCGGGUUGUAAAGCACUUUCAGUGAGGAAGAACGCCUGGUGGUUAAUACCCAUCAGGAAAGACAUCACUCACAGAAGAAGCACCGGCUAACUCCGUGCCAGCAGCCGCGGUAAUACGGAGGGUGCGAGCGUUAAUCGGAAUUACUGGGCGUAAAGCGCGCGUAGGUGGCUUGAUAAGCCGGUUGUGAAAGCCCCGGGCUCAACCUGGGAACGGCAUCCGGAACUGUCAAGCUAGAGUGCAGGAGAGGAAGGUAGAAUUCCCGGUGGAGCGGUGAAAUGCGUAGAGAUCGGGAGGAAUACCAGUGGCGAAGGCGGCCUUCUGGACUGACACUGACACUGAGGUGCGAAAGCGUGGGUAGCAAACAGGAUUAGAUACCCUAGUAGUC